This is a long non-coding RNA of Hirundo rustica (Barn swallow), 998 nucleotides long. RefSeq lists it as uncharacterized. NCBI's taxonomy places the organism in Eukaryota, Metazoa, Chordata, Aves, Passeriformes, Hirundinidae. The record is from RefSeq and is a predicted model, not a curated record. The transcript is spliced from 4 exons.
CCAAUAUUCGUCUCUCUGGCCCUGAACCAAGCGUGUUAUAGUUGAUUCUCCAUCUUACUAACCUCCUCUGAGCUCCACUGGAAGCCAGUUACUGACAUUUGCACUGCAUGGAAUAUCUUUCUAAGGAAAGAGAAGUGAGGAACAAAGGGGACAUGAGAAGGUCUUUGUCUUUUUCUCCGUGGGUGUGAGUACUGCAACACUGGAGCCAGAGAAUGGAGAAUGGAGCAGCUGAGGUGCAGAACUACAACCUGAGAUAAUUCACCCAGUGUUUUAAGCCCCCUUCAUCAUCACUAAUAGAAUUCCUGCUAAACUCAAUUACUCCCGCUCAAAGAUGAAUUAACUUCCCUUUGUCACAGUAGGGUUUAACCUUGAGAUAUUUUCUGUAAGAGACAUGGGAGAGGACUGGAGAAAAUGGAACAAGACUCGUGAUUAGCCUCUUAUCUGAAAACGUUUGUAUAUCAAGGCUUAAAAUGCUCAAUGGUAUUCUUUAAAAAUCCUUUACAUUUACUCCUAUAGAUAGGAAGUGGAAUAAAUGCAUUAUACCAACAAUACCACUAGAAUAAGCCAAACCAGGACACUGAAAGGUUAAGUAUAUAAUAUGAGAAAAUUAACUGUACGUAUGUUUGUUGCUGCACAGUUCAAGGAAUUCUGACAAAUGGAACAUAGUCAGUCCAGCAAGAAAUACCAAGGCAAGCCAGGAAUGUGUUGUCAGGGAGCAAUGACAUCAGCCUGCAGCCCUUGCCAGCCUCCCUCCGUCAGGUCCACAGUUCCAGAUCACUGCUCUGCAAAGGGUCACCACUCCCUUCCCGUAAAAUCACUGCACAAAGGACCAAAUCUAAAAGUGGUUGGCUGGGUUUUUUCCAUUUUAUGAGAAUGUACUAUGACUACCAGACAUCUAAUAUGCAGUGAACUCAUAUAUAUGAACAAAAUAUUCAGCCUUUCAGAUGGAUUCCUUUCUUCUUGCCCUACUGUGGUACUCACUUCAAUUUUGCUUGUUU